UGUUUAAUUAUUUUAGUUAUGUAAAAAUGUAAUGUUAAAUAGGGCUAUGUGAUGUUUAAGUAUGAAUUUUCCACUUCAGUUUUACGAAUGGCUAUGUUUGGUUGUUUAUAGUGAGUAGAUGUCUUGUUUAUCUGUAUUUGGUUGUUAGGUUGGUUGCAGUAAGCAUUUGUCCAGUUUUCAAGCACGUGCCUUUUUAUUUGUAUUUGCUUGUUACGCUGGUUCGAGUGAGAAUUUGUCCAGUAUUCAAGAAAUU
This 253-nucleotide long non-coding RNA is filed under the name Hordeum vulgare. RNAcentral's name for it is "long non-coding RNA (HVUL_LNC012927)". The record is from RNAcentral. Lineage: Eukaryota; Viridiplantae; Streptophyta; Magnoliopsida; Poales; Poaceae.